Octopus bimaculoides (California two-spot octopus) is the source of this 1494-nucleotide unclassified non-coding RNA. Lineage: Eukaryota; Metazoa; Mollusca; Cephalopoda; Octopoda; Octopodidae. The record is from RefSeq and is a predicted model, not a curated record.
UUAUUUUACUUCUCAUUUCUGUUGCUGGGGAAGUAUUUAAGAAGCGAGAGCAAAACAUGCGUUCUUACACUCAUUGCAGACCCAAGUUGUUGGAAACUGGAAAUAAGGUUUUGGGUCAUUUUUUCAAACUUAUUUAUGGAGACUCUGGUGACAGCGUUCGAAUUAAUGCUGGAACGUAACUUUUCCAAUGAACUCGUUUCAACAUCCGACGAACACCUGAUUUGGGGAUUCCUAUCUCACGACUCAAUUGUCCUACGGAUUACUUUGGAGAUCGGGAAAGGAUUUCCAUUAAUUAGAUGUGUCUACUGGGGCUGGCGGAUGUUCGUGGUCUUCCAGAACGUUGCUUACUAGCGUUCUGAACAGUUCCAUAUGCUUCCAAUUUAUCUCUGAUGCGAGUAAUAAUGCGUCGGGUUGGUGGUGUUUUCUGAAACUGUGUGUAACAUUUUCGUGCUUCCAGUAGAACUUUAAUAUAAUCUCUUUUCCUCGAAUGUUAGUUGUGCAUUUGCCAUUGCGAAGGGUUGGUUGCGUCUGAAAUAAAAUAAAAAAAACAACAAUACAUUAGUAAUCGUCUGUCAAACAGUAUCAGGGUAUUUUCACGGGAUUGCGAUGAACUAGCACAACGAUUGUGCCCUUCUACGUUUGUAGUACUUCUCAAUAAUAAAUUCGAGUAUUGCAGUACUUACAAGGACUUUGAUAAAUGCUUUCGAUGGGAAAGCCUAUCUUGUUUAAAUCAGUACAGAACUAAAUUUAAUAGCGUAUGUGCGGGAAAGUCUGGUGACAGCGUUGGAAUAAGCAAAACAUUUCUAUUGCCGCUGAGUAUUCAAUAUAUUACUACAACUACAUUAGAUUGAAGGAUACACUUGUUUUAAUUGAAAAUAAUUCUAUUGAAACAUUUCUGUAGCAAAGGAAGCUGUUGUUUUGUUAUCACUGAAAUAGCGCAGUGUCAUCUGGACUGGAUUGCAUUGAAGUUGCUAGACGUGACUGUCCUUCUACCUUUCUAUAUCCUCUACUAGAUGUUAAGACAUUCUGCAGAAACUUCAAGGACUUUAAUUCUUGCCUCAGGGGAAUUUCCGAAACAUGUGUACAAUAUUUCAGGGAUAUGGAAUACAGCAGGUGCCCGAAUAAUUCUCCGCCGGGGAAGGUAUUGUGGAACAUAGUUGGAGUAAGCAAAAUAUUUCUACUGCCGCUGAGUCUUCAAUAUAUGACAACCAACUCGAUUUGAAGUUAACAGCCAGUCAGUGUUUGGAGCUGCUAUUGUAACUCUCUUACUUACAUAUACAUAAGUAUUUGUUAUGGCACUAGAAGUACGUAUGUCUAUUAAUUUGAAAAAAUUAUUCAAUGAGAUAAGCCAUGAAAACAGGAUUCAAUUAUUACAAGAGAACGACUUGACUACAUAUGUGUACAAUUUCGUACGUGACAUUAAGGAUAUCUAAUAAUGUCCUACACUGUACUCUUUAAAUAUAGAUUAAAUUAUCUUCUUGAUAUUUCAACGAC